GGUCCCAUCGUCUAGUGGUUAGGACGCUGGCCUCUCACGCCGGAAACCAGGGUUCAACUCCCUGUGGGACUACCA
RNAcentral lists this transfer RNA (75 nucleotides) under Deltaproteobacteria bacterium HGW-Deltaproteobacteria-13. RNAcentral's name for it is "tRNA-Glu". It matches the Rfam family "tRNA". From Rfam's summary of the family: Transfer RNA (tRNA) molecules are approximately 80 nucleotides in length. Their secondary structure includes four short double-helical elements and three loops (D, anti-codon, and T loops). RNAcentral also lists the same sequence under 4 other names. Lineage: Bacteria; Deltaproteobacteria. The record is from RNAcentral.